ACAUCCAGAGAAUUUAGCAGAGAUGCUUUAGUGCCCUCGGGAACUCUGAGACAGGUGCUGCAUGGCUGUCGUCAGCUCGUGUUGUGAAAUGUUGGGUUAAGUCCCGNAACGAGCGCAACCCUUAUCCUUUGUUGCCAGCACGUAAUGGUGGGAACUCAAAGGAGACUGCCGGUGAUAAACCGGAGGAAGGUGGGGAUGACGUCAAGUCAUCAUGGCCCUUACGAGUAGGGCUACACACGUGCUACAAUGGCGCAUACAAAGAGAAGCGACCUCGCGAGAGCAAGCGGACCUCAUAAAGUGCGUCGUAGUCCGGAUUGGAGUCUGCAACUCGACUCCAUGAAGUCGGAAUCGCUAGUAAUCGUAAAUCAGAAUGUUACGGUGAAUACGUUCCCGGGCCUUGUACACACCGCCCGUCACACCAUGGGAGUGGGUUGCAAAAGAAGUAGAUAGCUUAACCUUCGGGAGGGCGUUUACCACUUUGUGAUUCAUGACUGGGGUGAAGUCGUAACAAGGUAAGCGUAGUGCU
Molecule: ribosomal RNA, 526 nt
Filed under: uncultured bacterium
Lineage: Bacteria
Description: bacterial SSU rRNA
Rfam family: Bacterial small subunit ribosomal RNA
Source: RNAcentral